RNAcentral lists this ribosomal RNA (309 nucleotides) under uncultured bacterium. Its description in RNAcentral is "partial 16S ribosomal RNA". It matches the Rfam family "Bacterial small subunit ribosomal RNA", at positions 504 to 807 of the family's 1533-position model. The record is from RNAcentral.
AGAGACAGCAGUCGCCACGGUAAUACAGAGGGUGCGAGCGUUAAUCGGAUUUACUGGGCGUAAAGCGUGCGUAGGCGGCUUUUUAAGUCGGAUGUAAAAUCCCUGAGCUUAACUUAGGAAUUGCAUUCGAUACUGGGAAGCUAGAGUAUGGGAGAGGAUGGUAGAAUUCCAGGUGUAGCGGUGAAAUGCGUAGAGAUCUGGAGGAAUACCGAUGGCGAAGGCAGCCAUCUGGCCUAAUACUGACGCUGAGGUACGAAAGCAUGGGGAGCAAACAGGAUUAGAUACCCCAGUAGUCCCUGUCUCUUAUAC